Long non-coding RNA from Oncorhynchus tshawytscha (Chinook salmon), 6345 nucleotides. NCBI's taxonomy places the organism in Eukaryota, Metazoa, Chordata, Actinopteri, Salmoniformes, Salmonidae. The record is from Ensembl.
CACAUGAUAGAACCCUGGUGACAGGAUUCACACAUGAUAGAACCCUGGUGACAGGAUUCCCACAUGAUAGAACCCUGGUGACAGGAUUCACACAUGAUAGAACCCUGGUGACAGGAUUCCCACACGAUAGAACCCUGUUGAAAGGAUUCCAACAUGAUAGAACCCUGGUGACAGGAUUCCCACAUGAUAGAACCCUGGUGACAGGAUUCCCACAUGACAGCCGUUGAAACAUGGUGACAGGAUUCCCACAUGACAGCCGUUGAAGCAUGGUGAAAGGAUUCCCACAUGAUAGAACCCUGGUGAAAUGAUUCCCACAUGGUAGAACCCUGGUGAAAGGAUUCCCACAUGAUAGAAGCCUGGUGAAAGGAUUCCCACAUGAUAGAACCCUGGUGACAGGAUUGCCACAUGAUAGAAGCCUGGUGAAAGGAUUCCCACAUGAGAGAACCCUGGUGACAGGAUUCCAACAUUAUAGAAACCUGGUGAAAGGAUUCCCACAUGAGAGAACCCUAGUGACAGGAUUGCCACAUGAUAGAACCCUAGUGACAGGAUUCCAACAUUAUAGAAACCUGGUGACAGGAUUCCAACAUUAUAGAAACCUGGUGACAGGAUUCCAACAUUAUAGAACCCUGGUGAAAGAAUUCCCACAUGAUAGAACCCUAGUGACAGGAUUCCAACAUUAUAGAACCCUGGUGAAAGGAUUCCCACAUGAUAGAACCCUAGUGACAGGAUUCCAACAUUAUAGAACCCUGGUGAAAGGAUUCCCACAUGAUAGAACCCUAGUGACAGGAUUCCAACAUUAUAGAAACCUGGUGAAAGGAUUCCCACAUGACAGCCGUUGUAGUCCUAUGAGGGGAAUCCCACGGAAUAGCCAUUGAAGCCCGGUGAAAGGAUUCCCACAUGAUAGCCAAUGCCAGUCAAAUAAUUAUUUCCAAGUUAGCACAGUGCAUCUUCAUCAAUCACUCAACUUUGUUAAGACCAGCUUUAUAAACGGGAGACCAAAAAAUUCCCCUGGCCAACCAAUCAUGCUCCUUCACUCUUAUGAAUACUGCUCAACAUUGAUUCAUUUAUAUGGAAAAUAUAUUAUGGCUUUAGAUUGUGGCUUUAGAUCAGUGCUUACAUAACAUGUGCUUUGCAGAGGAGGUGGACAUCUGGCCACAUGGCACAAAUACUUUCAGGGGGCUCUGAACAAUAAAAUAAGCAGAGACCAAACGGCAGCAGAAGACAGAAUACAUCGUUUUAGCACUACAAGCUGAGAAAACGUAAAGCUCAGAUUACAUCAUAUUAUAACAUCAGGCAUAUGCUCGGGACAGAUGAAAAGUCACGUCAAGGUUUGGACUAACGUUGAAGCCCAUGAGUAACACAGAAAACUGUUUAUAGGUUCCCUAUAGAUUACCUGGCAAACUGCUUGUACGUUAUUGUCCAUUUCAUCAACCAGAAGCAUAGCUUCUAAACAGAAAGAGACAUACUGACAGCUAUUGUGUUUCUGUUGUAUGUACUGUAUGUCCUGUAGGAGUUAUAACUCUUGAAAUGAGUAUAUUCUUAGUCUUUUUAGAAAACCACUGUUUUGUUUUUUUGUUGAUUUUAUUUUAGUCCAUUACAUUGAUAUUAUACUGUAUACUGUAAAUGCUCUGUAACAUAUUGACUUAUUCAAUAUUACUCUGUUGUGAAGUAGUUCUUUUCCAAAGGUAUAUGUUUUGUUCCUUUAACAUGCGUUCCUUUCUGCCUAAAACAGGACUUGUUUUGAUUGGUUGGGCCUGGAAGAACGUUGCCAUAAAACCGGACAAAGCCAGUCCUUUUCUCCAGAGGUUAACAUCUUAAUCUGAAGGUUUCCUGACAAACUAAAAGCCGCUGGCAAAAACGAAGAGCAACACAUUGCCUUUUUCUGAAAGGGCUACAGAGUGAGAACUCUUGUGCCACUUUAUACAAGCAGUUUAAUUAAGCCUUUCAUUCUUUUUUUUAAAUUAUCCUAGCAAAAUGUAUUGUUAUAGAUAUUUUUUAUUCAAAAUAAGAUCUAGAUUUUAUACAUGAUUCUCUCUUUUUUGACUAUGUACAGAAGUGCAAGAAAGUCAACCUUCUUCACCUACAAUGCUGUGAAAAAGUUUUUCCCUCUUUUAAAAAAUAACAUUCUCCACUCUUGCAUAUUUUUGUUACUGAAUGUUAUCAGAUCUUCAACAAAAAAACUAAUAUUAGAUCAAGAGAAACUGAGUGAACAAAUAUCACAAUAUUUACAUAUAUAUUUCAUAAACAAAGUUAUGUAACACCCAAUGCCUCUGUGUGAAAAAUUAAUUGCCCCCUUACACUCAAUAAUUGGUUGUUCCACCUUUAGCUGCAAUGACCAGGCUGUAUCACAUCCAGUCUUGAUUGGGAGUCCCAUAUGGCGGUGCACAAUUGGCCCAGCAUCGUCCGGGUUUAACCGGAGUAGGCUGUCAUUGUAAAUAACAAUUUCUUCUUCUUAUUAACUGACAUGCCUAGUUAAAUAAAAUAAACAUAUAUUUUUUAAUUAAAUAAAAAUGACUCCAACCAAACACUUCCUGUAGUUGUUGAUUAGUUUCUCACAUCGCUGGGGAGGAAGUUUGGCCCACUCUCCUAUGCAGAACUGCUUUAACUCAGCCACAUUUGUGGGUUUUCAAGCAGGAACUGUUGUUUCAAGUCCUGCCACAACAUCUAAAUUGCGAUUAAGUCUGGACUAGGCCAUUCCAAAACGUGUUGCUUUUUAGCCAUUUUCAUGUAGACUUGAUUGUGUGUUUUGGAUCAUUGUCUUGCUGCAGGACCCAGCGUUUUCCGUUAUGCCUUGUUAAAACCAAACACUGCAUUCCACAGUAAGAACCUUAUACCAAUGGUCAAGCAUGGUGGUGGUAGUGUGAUGGUUUGGGGAUGCUUUGCUGCCUCAGGACCUGGACAACUUGCCUUAAAACUUCUUUGGGAUCGGUGUCCCUUCCACGGGACGGUUGAGCUAACGUAGGCUAAUGCGAUUAGCAUGAGGUUAUAACUAGCAAGACAAUUUCCCAGGACAUAGACAUAUCUGAUAUUGGCAGAAGGCUUAAAUUAUUGUUCAUCUAACUGCACUGUCCAAUUUACAGUAGCUAUUACAGUGAAAGAAUACCAUGAUAUUGUUUGAGGAGAGUGCACAGUUUUGAGCAUGAAACGUUAUUAAUGGAAGGAACCAUUAAUUCUGCUCCGUGUCAGACAUUUCUUCAGGCGAAUGUCAGGCCAUCCGUCUGUAAGCUGACCAUGAAGCUAGCGGGGUCAUGCAGCAAGACAAUGAUCCAAAACGCACAAUUGUUUACAUGAAAAUGGUUAAAAAAAAAGCAACAAAUUUGGCCUAGUCAAAGUCCAGACCUAAUCCCUGUUGAGAUGUUGCUGCCGGACUUGAAACGACAGUUAAUGCUUGAAAACCCACAAAUGUUGUUGAGUUAAAAUGGUCAUUCAUGCAUGUAAGAGUGAAAAUACCUCCACAGCAACGUGAGGGACUGGUCAACAACUACAGGAAGUGUUUGGUUGCAGUCAUUGCAGCUAAAGGUGGCACAACCAGUAAUUGAGCGUGACGGGGCAAUUCCUUUUUUCACACAGGGGAUUGGGGUGUUGCAGAACUUUGUUAAUGAAAUAAAAUAAGUAUCCAUUUUUGUUGUUAUUUGUAAAUGUUGGUUCUCUUUAUCUAAUAUUUAGGUUUUGGUUGAAGAUCUGAUAACAUUCAGUAUCAAAUAUAUGCAAAAAUAGAGAGAAUCAGAAUGGGGGAAAAUACUUUUCCACAGCCCUGUAGGUUUCCCCUUGUUUGUUUGUGGCUAAGUAAAGAGAUCAGUGUGCAUACUCCAUGCUCGACCUGCCCCCGACCCCUGACCUCAACUGCAACGCCCCCUAAGAGUGAUCAAAUAUGCAGCUGUAUUUUCAAUAUGGCCUGACAUCCAGGGAGAUUACAAAUAUUCAAACAAUAGUUACUAUUUGAAGAGAAUACAGUAGAAAAUGUUUUUUUUUUUAAACACACCAAUCUAAUAAUGAGAUUUUUUUAAUAAUAUUUUUUUCCUUAUAAGAGUGACUAGUUACAAACCAGACGAUCAUUCAAAUAAUACUCCACUGUCAGUGAGCGUUGUCACAACAAGCCUCACUCUCCUAGUAUUUCCUCAAAGUCAGAUACCCACACAAAAGAUCUUUGUUCAAGAAACUCAAACAGACAAGAAAUUAAAAUAAUUCUUAGAGUUCACAGAAAAUAAAAAUAAUUCAGUUUACAAUCAUAACACUACAGUAAAUAUUAAAUUCAACAUUACAGAAAAUUUCAGAAAACAAAAAUAUGGUAUGAAGAACACAAAACACAUAUGACCUUAUUCAGAAUCCUACAAAAGUUACUGGUAAAAUCUAGUAAGACAAAACUCCUUUAACUAAAUAUCAAAAAUGUAAUCCGUGCAUUAAACAAAAUGAAAUAAGACAUUCAUCUUCUUGAAAAAAACAACCUCAACAAGAAAUACAUGUUUAGAGUGAAAGACAACAAUCAUAUUUAUACCACGAAAGCUUUGUGUGGCGACAAAACAGCAAGGGUUAGGCAAGAGGACGAUUUGAAAUGGCUUGUUGCAUUGUGCCGACCUCGUGGUGUUUUCUAAGGCUUUGGAUGAGUAAUACAAUCAGGUCAAGCUCUUCCAUACAAUGUCUUUUCAUACAAUGCAUGCAGAAGCAUGAGGGUUAACCCAAAAACAAUCUACACUCCCCCACGCUUCCAUACACAAAUUUACACUCACCCCCCUCUUGUCCAUACACAACUUCAUCUGUGAUUUUGGCCCCACACAUUUGCUGAACAGAGCUCCACUAGUGCACCCACAUAUGUCAACACAGAACACAGAAGAAAAAUACCAAAAAAACAUUUGACUGUAUCUAUCCCAAAGCAUCCAUACUAUCACACAUUAAAAUACACAUAAUGCGUUUUCACAAGUUCUCUCACAAAUCAUAGACCAUACAAACUGCACUUAAUAAAACAUACCAUUUUUAAAAAAUCAUUAAAUGAAUUAUAAUGAAAUGAAAACCACACCAUGUUCGAACAACUCAACCAUAAGCCACCCUGUAACUCUUGGAAAGUGCUCCUCACUCCACUCAGCGGUUUGGUUUAUCACGCAACUUUCAGUAGUUCUUCAUUCUAUCCUUCCUUUUUAACAGUCUCCACUCCUACUUCGUCACACGUGAGACUUUUGGAAUAAUAUUGGGUCCAGGGCCAAAGCCCCAUGCAUUAAGCCUUUACAGUCUAUAAACUUUAUACUCAGAGACAGAGAGGACUGGGUCCUAACAGAACCAACUAGAGUCUAUAGCCUUUAUACCCAGAGAGGACUGGGUCCUAACAGAACCAACUAGAGUCUAUAGCCUUUAUACCCAGAGAGGACUGGGUCCUAACAGAACCAACUAGAGUCUAUAGCCUUUAUACCCAGAGACAGAGAGGACCAGGUCCUAACAGAACCAACUAGAGUCUAUAGACUUUAUACUCAGAGAGGACCAGGUCCUAAAAGAACCAACUAGAGUCUAUAGACUUUAUACCCAGAGAGGACCAGGGCCUAACAGAACCAACAAGAGUCUAUAGACAUUAUACUUAGAGAGGACUGGGGCCUAACAGAACCAACUAGAGUCUAUAGACGUUAUACCCAGAGACAGAGAGGACCAGGUCCUAACAGCACCAACUAGAGUCUAUAUACUUUAUACCAAGAGACAGAGAGGACCAGGGCCUAACAUAACCAACUAGAGUCUAUAGACGUUAUGCCCAGAGACAGAGAGGACCAGGUCCUAACAGAACCAACUAGAGUCUAUAGACUUCAUACCCAGAGAGGACCAGGUCCUAACAGAGCCAACUAGAGUCUAUAGACUUUAUACUCAGAGACAAAGAGGACCAGGUCCUAACAGAACCAACUAGAGUCUAUAGACUUUAUACCCAGAGAGGACUGGGUCCUAACAGAACCAACUAGACUCUAUAGACUUUAUACUCAGAGAGUACUGGGUCCUAACAGGACCAACUAGAGUCUAUAGACUUUAUACCUAGAGACAGAGAGGACCAGGUCCUAACAGAACCAACUAGAGUCUAUAGACUUUAUACCCAGAGACAGAGAGGACCAGGUCCUAACAGAACCAACUAGAGUCUAUAGACUUUAUACCCAAAGACAGAGAGGACUGGCUCCUGACAGAACCAAGUAAAGGUUAUAGACUUUAUACUCAGAUACAAAGAGGACUGGGUCCUAACAGAACCAACUAGAGUCUAUAGACUUUAUACCCAGAGACAGAGAGGACCAGGUCCUAACAGAACCAACUAGAGUCUAUAGACUUUAUACCCAGAGACAGAGAGGACCAGGUCCUAACAGAACCAACUAGAGUCUAUAUACU